Molecule: ribosomal RNA, 468 nt
Filed under: uncultured bacterium
Lineage: Bacteria
Description: partial 16S ribosomal RNA
Rfam family: Bacterial small subunit ribosomal RNA
Source: RNAcentral
GACGAACGCUGGCGGCGUGCUUAACACAUGCAAGUCGAACGGAAAGGCCCUGCUUUUGUGGGGUGCUCGAGUGGCGAACGGGUGAGUAACACGUGAGUAACCUGCCCUUGACUUUGGGAUAACUUCAGGAAACUGGGGCUAAUACCGGAUAGGAGCUCCUGCUGCAUGGUGGGGGUUGGAAAGUUUCGGCGGUUGGGGAUGGACUCGCGGCUUAUCAGCUUGUUGGUGGGGUAGUGGCUUACCAAGGCUUUGACGGGUAGCCGGCCUGAGAGGGUGACCGGCCACAUUGGGACUGAGAUACGGCCCAGACUCCUACGGGAGGCAGCAGUGGGGAAUAUUGCACAAUGGGCGGAAGCCUGAUGCAGCAACGCCGCGUGCGGGAUGACGGCCUUCGGGUUGUAAACCGCUUCCGCCUGUGACGAAGCGUGAGUGACGGUAAUGGGUAAAGAAGCACCGGCUAACCACGUG